UUUUUGUGGCACCUUUCUCUGUAGUAGUGAACUGCCUUGAUGUGUGAGGUUAAUAAUAAAAUUGAGGAUCUUUAGUCAUUAGGGAAAUAAAAAUCUGAACUACAUUGAAGCUGAGUGUGGUGGUACACACCUUUAACCCCAGCACUCUUGGGGCUUGAGGCAGUAGGAUCACAAAUUCAAGCCCAGCCUGGGUUAUUUAAUGAUUUGGUGAAACAAUGUCUCAGAAUGAAAACAAAACAAAAAAACAGCUGCAGAUAUAGCUCAGUCCCAUGGCCUUGAAUUUGUUCUCCAGAAUAGAACAACCAAAAGGCAUCAUGUGCACUAGGCAAACACUACCACUCAGCUACACCCCAGACCUAUUUCUUCAUUUAAAACCAUGGAAUCUGUUGUCACAGAUUAAAGUGUUUUCCACUGUCAAGGACUAUGCUAGGCACUGUUGUAUAACUACUGAAUAUCUACUAUCUCUUUUACUUUGUCAACAGAAGUCCAGGUUUUAUCCAUUAUCUGUGCUUCAGUGAUGGUGACAGUUACUUACUGAAGUAGUAAAUCCUGAUUAGUCUAAACUAAUCAUACUAAGUUCUUUCUUUUCGCUAGUGUUUGCAAUAUGGACGUAUAACUCAAUUUUCAUGAAUAAUAUUAACAGGGAUGUUUUGAUGUGGGUCUUUUUGAAGUUGUUUACUUAACCUUUGAACAUAUCCUCAGGAUGAUAUAGUUUCUUCUCUGGUUGUGGUUAUAUGUAGAUGUUUUGGCUGGAAAUGCAGCAAUUAUCUUAUGACUGUGAGAAGAAUAAACUUGAGAACAAAAUAGACACUGCAUGGCAGACCAGAAAGAUGGAAAAAACCUUGUCCUUAAAUUAUUUUUGAGACACUAAAAGAAUGCAAGAAAACAAACAAAAAUCCCUGGAGCCACCUGACCCUGGCACUUUUCAAUAAUGUGAUAAACAUUUUUUAAAACAGUGCAUGCUUUUUGGAGGACUUUGUGUUCCAUAUAGCUCAAAACAUACAGUUACUCCAAAACACAGGUCAUUUCCUCUUCAUUUCUGGUACUGCACACAUUACUGCCUACUCAGCUCCACCAGUUCAGUUUGGUGCCACAAGAGUUGCACAAUGCAGUUCUAUGUAUGUCUCUGCAUUUAUGUGCCAUCUGCUAUGUUCACAUCUCUGAUUUCUGAUUCCUUCAACUCUAUUCAUUUUUAUUUUUCAAUUUUUUUUAUUUUAAAGAGAAUAAAGCAAAGCAAAGCAAAACAAAGCAGAGAAGUGUAAAACAAUGCAAAUAACACAAGAUUUCAGCAAAAAGACAGCAGGAAAUCAAUAAUGGCUACCAUAAUGUCUCUUGUUUUCUUCAAUAUAGUUUCCCAUAGUUUCAUACACAAUAAGUUUAUACACACCAAAAUAGUAUAAAAGCAAUCAAAAGAAUGAGAGUCUUAAAGGUGUUCAAGGCUCUUGUUUUCUUCAAAAUAGCUGUCCAUAUCUUUAUAUGGACAAUCAAAUAUCUGUCCAUAUCUUUAUAUUGCAAUCAAAUAAUGUAAAACAGACUAAAACCAAUCAAAACCAAGAAUAAAAGCAUUAUUGGCUUUACAAUCAAAAUGAGGAAAUCACCAAUGGCUACCAUGGUGUCUCAUUUUCUUCACUGUAGUUGUUCAUACUAUCACACAUAUUAAAAUCAAUUAUUGUUUACACUUUAAGUGAAAAUCUAGGCAUGUAUAAGCCUAUACAUGUACAUCUAUCCCUUUUGUACUGCCGAGAAAAACAAACAACAAUUAAAUAACUAUAACUAAGAGCCCAAAGUAAUAACAAUGUAGGCUUUCAAAACAAGGUGAUAGGAACAUAACACUUUUUAUUGUUUUGCAUAGUUAUCUUCAUAAGUCUUAUUCAAAUUACCAGAUCUAUUUAUGAAAAUUGAUCUAAUCCUAUGAAUCUAAUUCUAUGGGUAGUUAAUUUUUUUCUACCUUUUCCUAUUUGGAGUGUAGUUUCUUCACAUUAAAAUUUCAGCCAUAACUGACCCCAUGCAUCCAGCUGUUCUCACAGGCUUUCUAUAAAAUUACCCCUUGCACUAAUGCCAGAACCUUGUAUCAUAAGAGGCACUCUUUCUUUAUUUACUAUUUUUUACAGAAAAAAAGAAAGAAAAAAACAGACAAAACAGAAAAAUGGGUUCAUAAUUUCGAAGAAACAUAUUAACACUAAGAAAUCACUAGUUGGUAAGUUACAUAUUGUCAUCUUAGAAAUAGUUGUUCAAGUUAGAAAAUCAAAGCAUAAAAAGUGACUAGGCACUCAAACAUUCACGGUGGAAAAAAAUCUGUUCAACAAUCUAAUGAAAACUUAGUAAUAUGGUAAUCUGUGUUACACACUUAAACAUACAUAUAGUUGUACCAUUUAGAGCACUUUCCCUCCCCUUCAUGUUGACAAUAUCUAUUAUACAUUUUGGAUCUUAUCAUUCUUUCAGUUUUUAAAUUAUUUUUUUCACACUUGAGAGACAAUGUGGUUCUUACAAAGGUGGGUCUUAUCUAUUUCACUUAUGAGGAUAGUCUCAUGUUGCUUCCAUUUACCUUUAAAGGCCUCAAGAUUAUGCUUUUUUAUAAGCUGAGCAGUAUUCCAGUGUAUAAAAAUACCACAUCUUUUUCAUCCACUUUGCAGUUGAUGGGCCUUUUGGUUGUGUUCAAGAUUUAGGUCACUUUUUGAAUGUCAUUCUAAAUACUUUAAUUCUACAACCUGAACAGCUAUUUCGAAGAUGACAAUGUGUAACUUACCAACCGGCAAUUUCUUACCUUUUGUUUGUCUGUAAUUUUGUAUUAUUUCUACCCUUUUUUUUAAUCUCCAUGUAUUUUUUUCGUUUCCUUUUCUUUAAAUAAAAAAAAAAGAUUUAGCUAUUACAAAGUGUGCUGCUAUAAACAUGGGUGCAAAUACAUCACUGUGACAUGAUUUUUUCCAUGCUUCUGGGAAAAUACCCAGGAGGGAAAUAGCUGGCUUUAAUGGAACUUCCAAUCCUAGUUUUUUUUGAGAAAUCUCCAUGCUGCUUUCCACAGUGGCUGCACCAGUCUACACUCCCACCAACAGUGGAGAAGCAUUCCUUUUUCCACACAGCCUCACCAACAUUUAUUAUCAGUUGAUUUAUUGAUGGUAGCCACUCUUUCUGGAGUUAGAUGAAAUCCCAAUGCUGUUCUAAUUUGCAUUUCUCAAAUGACCAGUGAUCGUGAACAUUUCUUCAUGUAUCUUUUUGCCAUUUGUAUAUCUUCAUCUGAGAACUGUGUGUUCAUCUCAGAUUUCCAUUUUUGAAAAGGGUCUGACUGUCUGACUAUCUUUGUAGUUCUGUUUGCAUCUUCUAAUCUGUUGCAUUGGUUGUUGGGUGUAUUUCUUUGCCAGUACCAUGCUGAUUCUAUCACUGUGGAUUUGUAGUAUAAUUUCAAGUCAGGAAUUGAGAGGCUUCCUGCAUUGCCUUUGUUGCCCACAAGUGCCUUUGCUAUUCUAGGUUUCUUCUGUUUCCAAAUGAAUUUUAGGUGUGUUUUCUCUAGAUCUGUAAGGUAUGUUAGUGGUAUUUUGAUGGGGAUUGCAUUAAAGCUGUAAAACAGUUUUGGGAGUGUGCUAUUUUCAUAAAGUUGGAUCUUGCUAACCAAGAGCAAGGAAUAUCCUUGCAUUUUCUAAUAUCCUUGUUAUGGAUUAAGAACUGGUAGUCAACUUAACACCAGCUGGAUUACAUCAGCACGGCACUGAGCAAAGAUGCUCCACCUGAGGAAAGUUGCCAAGAUAAAUAGGUGGAGAAGAAGAGAGGGUUGAGGUGUUAAUGCGUUGUUGCAUGGAGGCAUUGUGGGUUUUCCUACAAGUUGCUGUUUAAGCUUUUGGUUCUCCUGGAGAAGCUUUGGUCCUCACAUUCGAGCAUUGCUUCCUGGCUCCGGAGGGGAAGACAUGUGCUGCUUGGUCUCCAGGAUGAACUCGUCACGCUGCUUCCUGGCAUGUACCAGACUGUGCUUGUGGUCGGAGGAGCUCAGGGCCUCCGUGUCACUGAGGAUGGCUGUGGUGCCUUUCAGGAUAGCCCUGGUCUUUGUUAUGCUCAAGCAUUUGGGUGGCUGAAACAGGAGAAUCAUUGAAGUUCGAUACCAGCCUGAACUACAAAAUGAGCUCAAGGCCAGCAUGGAACUGCAUAGCAAGACCCUGUCACACAAAGACAAAAAAAUGCAGCAUUUAAUGGACUCUCAAUAUCAUUGGACACUAUAAAAAAUUUCACAAUGAUGUUUUUCCUCUAUCCACUAAGAAAUAUAAUCCCAAGGGACUCUUGUAAGUUCUUCAAUUGCUCCACCAGCCAAAAACGCAUACUUGCUAAGAUGCAUUUUAGGAAAGUCUCUUUGUGCUUUUCUGUGUAACUAACAGUGGGGAGUUUUACAUCCAGUGUGUUCUGUGAUAUGUUUUCAGGUUCUUGCCAACUUAAUCCAUACAUUCUUUGUCCUACUUGGCUGUCUGGAUCACACACUGUAUACUACUGGCAGAUAUUAGCAUAAUGCAUUAAUGCUUUGGAAUCUGAUGGUUGAAAGUAUCCCCAUGAAGGACCUUGUGCUGUUUACCUCUUACUGCCUACUCUUCCCUUGGUUGUUGCUCUACUUUUUAAUCCUCGUAUUCUCAUUCUCCUUGAAAUCCCUUGCUAUUUCUUAUAUCUUAUAAGAAUGAAACACUAUUCUGCUUAAAUGGUUAUGUUUUGAUCUGCCCUGUUUUGCUGUUAUGCCCUCUUUUUUUCUCAAUCUCCACUCCAUUAUUUACUUUUUCAUUUUUAUCCGUUUAAUUAAAGGGAAAAAAAUAGCAGGAUAUAAUAUAGUAACCCACUUUGACUUUCUAUUAUCUCGAUUUGAAGCCCUGUAUUACUCUCACCAUCUUGUUUUUGACUGAGGUUCCUCUAUUCUGUUUUACUGGAUAGUAUCAGGUUCGAAAGUUUAGGCAUCAGCUGAGAAGAUAAUGAGAUUCAUUAUAACGCCCAUUCUCGUUGACUUUUAUCUACUUUUGAAGACCUACAAUAUCUCCAAUGUUUUGGUUUUGUCGGUUUUGUUCUUUACUGUUUUGUUCAAUUGUAUUACAACUAAUGAUAUAGGCAAUUCUAUUAGAGAUAGCGGGAGGCAUUAUGGUAACCAUUGUUGAUCACCUUGUAUUAUGUUUUUAUAUUAUCUAUUAUGUCCACCCUUUUGACUUGACUGAUUCUGUUCUGUUAUGUCACAUUUGGUUUUACUCUCUUCCAAAAAAGCAAUAAGAACCGUGGGAGCAAUGAAACCCAAAAUGUGUAAUAGUCAUUGUACAAAAGAGAGGAAAAGAAAGUGCUCUAAACUAUAUAACUGCAUGUAUAUUUAAGUGUAUAAGAUAGAAAAUGAUAUCACAGAGUUUAUUGGAUCAUUGAACACAACUGUUUGCAGUAUCAUUGUUGGAAUGUCCACUCUACAAGCUUUAAUUUUGUGACUUGAACAAUUAUUUCUAAGAUGGCAAUAUGUAAUCCAUUAACUAGUGAUUUCCUACUGCACAAAAAAAAAAAAGAAUGCUACACCCCAACGAUACAAUAAUGAACAUAAUAGACCAAUGUUUUGCCUUAUAAGAUUACAUUCUAGAUAGAAGGGCAUACUCACAAAAAAUAUUAAACAGAGAGAAAGAAAAAUAAUUAGAAGCCAUGUGAUUAAAAGGGUAGUGAUCAUGGAAUUGUAACUUCAGGUAAGACAGUCUCACUUGAAAGAAGUGAGGGAGGGAGUCAUAUGGAUGUCUGUGGGCAAAUAUUUCAAGUUAAGAGGACAGAAGAUGUUGAAGAUCAGAGGUAAGAAACUGACUGGAAGGUUUCAAAGAUAAGAGGACAAUGCAGUUAAACUGAAGUGAACAACUGGCCUGAAUGUUUUCACCUAAGAGUGGAAACAGAGAAUCAGAUUCUGUAGGGCCUUAUGAGGCAUUGUACCAAUUUUAUCUUUCAUUCUACUAAGAACAAUUUUUUUUCAUUUAACAGUUAUUUAUUUUAUUUUUUGAAACUUUAAAUGGUCUUUUAUUUUUUUAAUUUUUUUAUUUUUAAAAAGAAAAACAAAAGAGGCCAGAAAUAAUACAGAAUUUUAAAAAACACUAAGAAAUCGACACUAGAUAAUAUGUUACUCAUUGUUAUCUUAGAAGUAGUUGCAAGAUAAAUAACCAUACUCCUAAUUCUCUGUUAGUUCAUCAUAAAGAACAACUUUUGAAAAAAGAUAACAAGAUUACUCUGGCUGCUGUGUUGAGAGCAGACUAUGCAGAUAGGUGAGCAAUAGUGGAAGCAGCAAGACAAUUAAGAUAAUUAACAUCUAGGCACAAAAUGCUAACGAUUUUGACCAAGACAGUGGCACUGGAGCUGGCGAGAAGUGGUUGCAUUCGGAGCCUGAUUCUGAAGUUUAUGUAACUCAUAAAUAUGGAUAAUGGUGAAAAGAGAGCAGUAAGGAUGAGUCUCAGAGUUUUAGUCUAGACAAAUGGAAGUAAUAGAGUUGUACUUUACUGACAUGUCAUAAAAAAGUGUUUAGAAUGACAAUUUUAGGAAUUAGUUUGUGGUCUGUUGUGGUUGUAAAGCCUAUAAGGCAUCCAAAUAUAGAAGUUUGGUAAACAGCUGGAUAUAUAAGCAUGGAGAUGUGGGAGAAAUGUGCUCAUUUUGGAUUCCAUCAAUAGACAGGUAAUGUUCAAGGAUGGGUGAGAUUACUAAAGAGUAUCCCAAAGCUCAAUAGAUAAAGAGUAAGGCUAAUACAUCUUAGGGUACUCUAUAAACUGGUUUAACAAGAAGAAUCAGCAACAGAGAUUGACCCUGAGAGGCCAAUGAAAUAGGUAAGUGUGGGGUCCUAAAAGCCAAGCAGCGAGGGAAUGGUUGAUCAAAAAAGUCAUAAGAAAAGACAAUGCAUAAAUGUACUUAAGCAUUGGGUUGAGUAAUACAAAGGAACAAUGUAAAAGCUGAUUUGGGUAGUGAGAUUAUGAAGUGUUUGAUGGCAAGUAAAAAUUGAAAACUUCCACUGAAUUGGGGUACAUACCAACCUUGCCUUAUGCACUUGCUGCUUGAGCCCCAUGGUAUCAAUAAAAACUAUAUCACUGAAGAAGAAUGGAUGAACUCCUAGAGCGACUUUGACUGUGACACUUGUUUGAAAAUACAAGUUCUGGCCAGUGUAGUAAAGAAUCCAGUCAAGAAUCAAUUGUAAUACAGUAGCCUCGUCUCAUUUAUAUGUUGACUUCUCUGUGGAAGGGCUUUAGCUGAAAACACCCAUCUAACCAAUGCAAACAUGCCACAGAGGCUGUGACUCCUACAAGAAUACAUGAAUGAAUAAAAACAGAUGGAUGACUAGAGAGAGAAAAUUGAUGAAGAGAAGGAUGGGAUAUACUGGGAAAAAGUUUUUAACACCAUUGUCAAAUCAAACUGAUAUACAUAUACUGCAAUAACUUAAAGAACUGAGAGAGUGAGAAGAGUAAUACAACGGUGGUAAGGGAAAAUCAGAAAAGACGGGGCUGGGGAUUUAGUUCAGUGGCAAAAGCACCUGCCUUGCAAGCAGUGAGUUUGAUCCCCAGUACCAAUAAAUAAAAAAGGCAAAUCAGAAAAGAUGAAAAAUAUGAUAAAAAUAAAAAUUCUUGAAAUUCUUUAGUGAUGUUUCUGAAAAAAAGAAAUUAAAUUUACUUACUGUUGAUGCAUUUGAAGAUAAUUAAUAUUUUAUUCAGUGUUUCCUAUGUACCACACAUUUUAUUUAUUUUUUUGGAAUUUAACAGUGAUUGUUACAUUACAUAAUCAUUAUCCUCAAAGUAAUUGCCCAGGCUAUCAGAUACAGGCAUUCAAGAUUGAUCAAACAAUGUAAUUCAUCUUGAGAAGUUGGUACAUGUACAUAGCACAUCUUAAUUACUUUUCGUCCCUUUUCCUUCCCUUUUCCACCUCUUAAUUUCCUUCCUCUUUGCAGAAGAUCUAUCUCCCUGUUUACAAUUAUCUAUCUCCACAGAUAUUAAUAUAGUAUUGGCUGCUCUUUUGGUCAAAUAUUUGACUAUAUUUGCUACUAUAGUAUUCUAUGAGAAUAAUAUAAAAUACUAAGUAAAUUAUACCUAAAUCAUCACUAGAAAAGAAAAUAGCUAUUUACUAAUUUCAAAAGUCUAUGCAAACAAUAACAUUAUUUAAAUAUAGCAAGUCUACCUCCUACAGAUUAUGGCUAACAUAUUACAUUAUUUCUCAUAGCAGGAGAACUAGGUCUUAAAAGGUAGAAGCCAAACAAGUGUAAAGUCAUAUUAUUUCUUUAUAUUUUUGAUAUUUGGUUUUGUGGUGUUAGGGACCAAAUCCAAAGCUUUGUAUAAUUUAUUUCUAGAGAUGAAUGGAAAUUAAUAUUUACCUGCUUGUACAGUUACAAAUGAGUUCAUCUUGAAAUAAGUCUUAACCAUAGGAAUCACCAAAUGUACCCGAGCCUGAUACAAUGGUAUACCCUUGUAGUUCCUGCUACUUGGGAAGCAGAAACAGGAGAAACCUUUGUGACCAACAGUUCAAAACCAAUCUGGACAACAUAGUAAGUCCCAGUCUGAAAAAUAAAUGUUCGACACAAGUUCAAGAAAAGAAGGAAUCCAGAUCUAUUAUUUUACUCUUAUAUGGGAUGUUCUUAUGUUUUGAUCCCAAAGAUCUGUGGAUAUCAUUCCCUGGUAUUUGUUGACUGAAUUUCACAACAGGAUGCAGGACAUGACAUACAGCUUAGUGAUUUUUCCUAUUAUAGAUGAUGCCGGGAAAAACACUAACUCGUUUAAGCAUUUGAGCCAAGCAAUGAAAUAGUCAUUAAAAUGUUAGAAAUUUCCAAGUAUGCUUUCUCACAGCAAUUCAUUGUAAAAAUGCAAAAAUUCAAUGUUUGUAGCCAACUUUAGCAACAAAUUACACCUCUAUAUUAUGUACAAAUUAGUAAUAAAUAGGUGCAUGUUUACUUAGAACUGCAACAAUGUGGAAUAAAAGUAUCACUUAUUUUCUUAUUCAUCAUUCUUUGAAUGAAUUCUAAUCUACUUGUUAUGCUUUCACCACAUUAAACAAUUUGGUAUCUAAAAUAAACAAGAAAGUAGUGUAUGUAAAGGGUCCAUAUAUAGAAGACUUUCAGGAUGGGGCUAUCUAAUUUUCUUUCACUUCCUCAAAAACAAGGAAUACAAAGAUCUGCUGGUGGAGAACGGUUUAAAAAUUAGAACCUUUGUAUCUUAGUAUGCUCAGGCCACCAUUACAAAUCCCACAAACUGAAUGGUUUAAACAGUAAGAAAUUUAUUUCUCACAGUUCUAGAGGCUGGGGGACUGAGAUCAGUGUGAUUGCAAAGUAGAUUUCAUUAAGUUCUCUAUUCUUAACUUGCAGGAGUCUGCCAUUUUGUUGUAUCUUCUCACAAUCUCUUCUUUGUGCUAAUGUGAACAGAGCAAGCUUGAGUUCUCCAGUGAUCUCAUGUACCUCUCAGAAACACUGUCUCCAAACACCAUCACAUUGAGAGUUAGAACUUCAACAGAUGAGUUUUGGAGGGAUGUAAACAGUCUGUAACAUAUUAUAAACAUCUAUAAUAUGCAUUUCAAUGCCAGUACCUUUGAGAUUAUUUAUUUUCUUUUGGAUAAAAGAUACAAAUCAGAUGCCUUUGUUAUGGCUUCAUUGUUUGCUCAACUAAAAUUUCCCAUUAAUUUGAUUAUCAGUGUUAAUGUAUGCACAGUACUUACCAAUGGUUGUUGACAGUUAGCAUUGUGUCUGAUUGGUCAGUGUCCAUGCUGUACAUGUCAUUAAAUAUUUUAAAUAUUAUUUCCUGAUUUUGCAUAUUCUUUGUUAUAUAUAUAUUUUUUGUUUGUCUGUUUGGUUAUUGAGAUAGAGUCUUACUGUUCAGUUUAGUCUGGCCUUAAACUCACUAUGUAGAUGAGACUGGCCUGGAACUCACAGUGAUCUUCCUGCUCAGCCUCUUGAGUGUUGGGAUUAUAGGUGUGUUCCAUCAUGCCCUAUUUUACAUACUCUUUAUUUGAUAAAUGUAUUCUUCAUUAAAGCAUAUAAGUAAAUCAAAGCAUUUAGAAGUAGGAAUAUUAAAAAAUAACCAGCUCCUAUUCUCAUUAGUACUUGCAUGUUAUUUUCUGAUUUUUAUGUAAUUCAAGCUUAAAAAUUAACUAAGUGAUCCCAAAUACUGAAAGUUAGAGUUAGAAAUCUCUUGAGUAAAAUUUAAAACUUUUUAUUGGGGUAACAUUUGUACAAAAUUGAUCUUUUUUUGGUAGUGCUGAGGAUUGAAUCCACGGCCUCAUGCAUGUUAGGCAAACACCAUACCAUUGUGUUGUACCUCCAGCCUAAAACUAUUUUAAAGUGUACUCACCCCAUUAUCUAGUUCCUGGAAAUAAAUGCCACUCUCAUUAAGCAGUUACUUCCUGAUUCCUCUUUGGUUGUUUCUGAGAGAUGCUCCUAAGAUGCUUUCUGUUUGCAUUUGCCUUUUUAGACAUUUCGUACAAGAUGAGUUGCACUACAAAUAACCUCAUAAGUUUGUUUUCUUUCAAGUGGCAUUAUGUUUUGUAGAUUUUUCCAUAUUGUACCACAUAUCUGUAUUUUAUUAUUUUUAUGACCAAUUCAUAUUCCAUCACAUGUUUAUUCCAUAAUUUUUUGUUUGUUGCUGUAUAUUAAGGCAAUUUCUUCCUUUUGGUUGUCAAGUUAGACUUCUAAAUAUCCAAUUAAGACUUUAAAUUCCUCCAUCUGUGAGUCGACCCCGCAUUAUAAACUUAAAUACCCUAGCAGAAGCAUUUUAUUGUUUCAUGUGUCUGUGUCCUUGGAUGGCUGUGUUAUUCCAGUUGCUGUUUUCCUAGUUGAAAAUUAAUGGAAGAAUUGAUCUCAUAUACUUAGCCUCCUCAACAGCAAACAUUAAUCAGAAUCUACAAUAGCAACUUUUCCUUUGCUUUCUCCUCUUGCCUGUUGAUCAGUUCUUUCCUAAACAUAUUACCUUUCCAUUGCUACUUUCACACUCCUGCUUUCUUUCCAUCUGGUAUUUGUCAUCCAUGUACUUGGUCCUCUGUGAGAAAUCUGACAAAUUCAAUUGUACUUUUUUCCUGAUUUAGACCAUCCUUUGAAAUUAUUUGGUGCUACAAAACUCAGCCAUUGUAAUUCUAACCGUAAAAACCAUUUUUUCCCUGUGGGUACAGUGAUGCAUAUCUGUAAUCCCAGCUACUAAGGAGACUGGGGCAGGGAGAUUGCAACUUUGAGGCUAGCAUGGCUAGCUCAGUGCUUCCUAGUUUCAAACCUCAGUAACGCAAAAGCAAAACAAAACAAAAAUCAAACCAAGAUCAACAGCCACAACAACAGCAGCACCAGUAGCAGCAGCAGCAGCAGCAGCAGCAACAAUAACAACAAUAACAACAACAACAACAACAGACACCUGUUUUGUGUGGUGCUGAAACCCAGAGCCUUAUGCAUGCUAUGCAAGUAAUCUACCACUGAGCUGUUCCUCCAGCGCAGACAACCAUUUUUACGUUUAGUUUUUGGCUUGGUGGCAAAAUAGUACAUUUUAGUUACAUAAACCAAUUCUUAUAUAUGUUAUUUCCCUGACAUAACAGAAUGUAUUAAUCCAGUUAAGCUGUUUACUUGUUCUGAAGAAGAGAUAUGAGAUUUAUCUACAUGAUGAAGAAGAGGUCAUGAUGAAGAAGAGGUCAGUAGGGAUAGAUGACAUGAAGGUGCCCAUCAAAUAAUGCUAUGUAGCAGCUGACUUUUCUGAUCUACAGAAGCCCUUUCCAGGCAGCUUUAUAAGAUCUAUAACCUUCACAUUUCUCCUCAAGGUAAAUUUAUUGGGGAUGUGGUUCUGACCUGAAUUGCUCCUAAAAUUUUUUAUCAAUCAGAUUCUAAAGCUAUGUUUGGAAAUCUUGCUCAAUGUUAGAUUAUUUGCUUAGUAUGAAUGAAGCAUUGGGUUCUCUACCUAGCACUAGAAAAAAAAAAGAGAGAUUCUACAACUAGCGGAGGCAACGUGAAUAUCUCCUCAUACAGUGUUUACUUACCCAGUAAAUCAAUGAUGGUAAACCUUUUAGAGCUUUCAGUGAUAUAAACAGCCCUCUAUGGCAUAUGUGCCACAGAUUCAAAACCAUUGUACUAGCCAAACUGAGCGCAUGCUUGCUAACCUGGGGCAUAAACCUUUUGGGGACAGUGGGAGAAUUUGGUAUUUAUAUUUUAUGCAAAACAUUAGGACAGUCAUUAUGGGAAGAGGUAAAUAUGUCUUAGAUGUCUAUUUAUUUAGUUGAUAAUAUCAGUUUAUUUUAAAAACAGUAUACAAUAUAGUUGACUUUGGGGUAUGCUGUUCUGUGGAUUGUAGUAUAUCAUUUUAAUUUAAAUUUUGACAUAUACAAAAUGGAAGCACUGAAAGGCUUAAACCAGUCUUAUAACUGAGGUAUUUGCAGGUAAAAAAUGAAUAUGGAAUUUUGAGGAAAUUCACAAUGUAUUUCUGUCAUCCUCCAUCUCACAUUUCAAAUUAAAUAUGAAGUUACAAAUAGA
Molecule: long non-coding RNA, 12430 nt
Organism: Cavia porcellus (domestic guinea pig)
Lineage: Eukaryota; Metazoa; Chordata; Mammalia; Rodentia; Caviidae
Exons: 2
Source: RefSeq, a predicted model, not a curated record